GGAAGCGUGGCAGAGCGGGCGAAUGCACUCGCCUUGAAAGCGAGAGUCCCGAAAGGGUCCGGGGGUUCGAAUCCCUCCGCUUCCG
RNAcentral lists this transfer RNA (85 nucleotides) under Pseudonocardiales bacterium. RNAcentral's name for it is "tRNA-Ser". It matches the Rfam family "tRNA". From Rfam's summary of the family: Transfer RNA (tRNA) molecules are approximately 80 nucleotides in length. Their secondary structure includes four short double-helical elements and three loops (D, anti-codon, and T loops). The record is from RNAcentral. Lineage: Bacteria; Bacillati; Actinomycetota; Actinomycetes; Pseudonocardiales.